RNAcentral lists this ribosomal RNA (440 nucleotides) under uncultured bacterium. Its description in RNAcentral is "partial 16S ribosomal RNA". It matches the Rfam family "Bacterial small subunit ribosomal RNA", at positions 338 to 795 of the family's 1533-position model. The record is from RNAcentral.
CCUACGGGAGGCAGCAGUGGGGGAUAUUGCACAAUGGGGGAAACCCUGAUGCAGCGACGCCGCGUGGGCGAAGAAGUAUUUCGGUAUGUAAAGCCCUGUCAGCAGGGAAGAAAGUGACGGUACCUGAAGAAGAAGCCCCCGCUAACUACGUGCCAGCAGCCGCGGUAAUACGUAGGGGGCAAGCGUUAUCCGGAUUUACUGGGUGUAAAGGGGGCGCAGACGGCGAUGCAAGCCAGGAGUGAAAGCCCUGGGCCCAACCCCGGGACUGCUCUUGGAACUGCGUGGCUGGAGUGCAGGAGGGGCAGGCGGAAUUCCUGGUGUAGCGGUGAAAUGCGUAGAUAUCAGGAGGAACACCAGUGGCGAAGGCGGCCUGCUGGACUGCAACUGACGUUGAGGCCCGAAAGCGUGGGGAGCAAACAGGAUUAGAUACCCGAGUAGUC